GAUGAACGCUGGCGGCGUGCCUAAUACAUGCCAGUCGAGCGAACGGACGAGAAGCUUGCUUCUCUGAUGUUAGCGGCGGACGGGUGAGUAACACGUGGAUAACCUACCUAUAAGACUGGGAUAACUUCGGGAAACCGUAGCUAAUACCGGAUAAUAUUUUGAACCGCAUGGUUCAAAAGUGAAAGACGGUCUUGCUGUCACUUAUAGCUGGAUCCGCGCUGCAUUAGCUAGUUGGUAAGGUAACGGCUUACCAAGGCAACGAUGCAUAGCCGACCUGAGAGGGUGGUCGGCCACACUGGAACUGAGACACGGUCCAGACUCCUACGGGAGGCAGCAGUAGGGAAUCUUCCGCAAUGGGCGAAAGCCUGACGGAGCAACGCCGCGUGAGUGAUGAAGGUCUUCGGAUCGUAAAACUCUGUUAUUAGGGAAGAACAUAUGUGUAAGUAACUGUGCACAUCUUGACGGUACCUAAUCAGAAAGCCACGGCUAACUACGUG
RNAcentral lists this ribosomal RNA (497 nucleotides) under uncultured bacterium. RNAcentral's name for it is "partial 16S ribosomal RNA". It matches the Rfam family "Bacterial small subunit ribosomal RNA", at positions 28 to 507 of the family's 1533-position model. The record is from RNAcentral.